AUACGGAGGAUCCGAGCGUUAUCCGGAUUUAUUGGGUUUAAAGGGAGCGUAGGUGGAUUGUUAAGUCAGUUGUGAAAGUUUGCGGCUCAACCGUAAAAUUGCAGUUGAAACUGGCAGUCUUGAGUACAGUAGAGGUGGGCGGAAUUCGUGGUGUAGCGGUGAAAUGCUUAGAUAUCACGAAGAACUCCGAUUGCGAAGGCAGCUCACUAGACUGUUACUGACACUGAUGCUCGAAAGUGUGGGUAUCAAACAGGAUUAGAUACCCUGGUAGUCCACACAGUAAACGAUGAAUACUCGCUGUUUGCGAUAUACAGUAAGCGGCCAAGCGAAAGCAUUAAGUAUUCCACCUGGGGAGUACGCCGGCAACGGUGAAACUCAAAUGAAUUGACGG
RNAcentral lists this ribosomal RNA (391 nucleotides) under uncultured bacterium. Its description in RNAcentral is "partial 16S ribosomal RNA". It matches the Rfam family "Bacterial small subunit ribosomal RNA", at positions 523 to 916 of the family's 1533-position model. The record is from RNAcentral.